AAGAGUAGCUACACUUAAGUGGAUGUUGAAGAAAAGGACCCUUGGAGACUGUGGAAUUGAUGGCAAGUUGGAUACAGGCUUUAAUGAGAGAACAGAUGUCUGGUGAUGAGAAUGCUAUUCUGGAUGUGGUGCCUCAUCUUCUCCAAACUAACCAAUCAUCCAGGUGGAAUCCAACUAAAAGCCUGGAUCCAAAUUCCAGAUCAGGAUCUAAACUUCAUCUCUCUGCUCCAAAAAGAAGCAACUUCAUUUCCAAAGCCAGUUAAUAUUGCUGAGUGAUAACGUAUUAAUCUACCGUCUUGUUUACAAAACUCACCCACUUGAAAGCCAGGAAAAGAAUAGUUAAUGACAUCAGACACUGCAAGCUAUCCAUGUAAUAAACAAAUAAUUCUUACCAAGAAGAAGGUAACAAAUAUGUCAUCAUACCAAAAUGAUUUUAACACUGACCCAAAAUGAAUACUAUUCUUUUACCAGUAAUCAGAAAAUAUAAACACAACAAUCCUUUGAAAAACAAGCUUUAAUUUGAGCAUGUAUGUUUAUGUUUCAUUUUCUACAAGGUUUUGUUGUGAACUCUCUAAAAUGUCAAAAGCACAUCUUUAACUUCACUAUCGAGUAUGCACCAUGACACUUUAUCAGCCUAGACAAAAAAUUUCAUUGCCUCUUCUAAUCAAAUCUGGAGGACUUCUGAACUCCCAUUAAACUUACUUAACCACUUCA
This is a long non-coding RNA of Mauremys mutica (yellowpond turtle), 714 nucleotides long. RefSeq lists it as uncharacterized. Lineage: Eukaryota; Metazoa; Chordata; Testudines; Geoemydidae. The record is from RefSeq and is a predicted model, not a curated record. The transcript is spliced from 3 exons.